RNAcentral lists this ribosomal RNA (429 nucleotides) under Bacteroidota bacterium. RNAcentral's name for it is "Bacteroidetes bacterium partial 16S ribosomal RNA". It matches the Rfam family "Bacterial small subunit ribosomal RNA", at positions 355 to 776 of the family's 1533-position model. The record is from RNAcentral. Lineage: Bacteria; Pseudomonadati; Bacteroidota.
UAGGGAAUCUUCGGCAAUGGGGGGAACCCUGACCGAGCAACGCCGCGUGCGUGAAGAAGGUCUUCGGAUCGUAAAGCUCUGUUGUUAAGGAAGAACGAGUGUGAGAAUGGAAAGUUCAUGCUGUGACGGUACUUAACCAGAAAGGGACGGCUAACUACGUGCCAGCAGCCGCGGUAAUACGUAGGUCCCGAGCGUUGUCCGGAUUUAUUGGGCGUAAAGCGAGCGCAGGCGGUUAGAAAAGUCUGAAGUGAAAGGCAGUGGCUCAACCAUUGUAGGCUUUGGAAACUGUUUAACUUGAGUGGAGAAGGGGGGGGUGGAAUUCCAUGUGUAGCGGUGAAAUGCGUAGAUAUAUGGAGGAACACCGGUGGCGAAAGCGGCUCUCUGGUCUGUAACGGACGCUGGGGCUCGAAAGCGUGGGGAGCAAACAGG